This 356-nucleotide ribosomal RNA is filed under the name Trachinotus ovatus (derbio). RNAcentral's name for it is "partial 12S ribosomal RNA". It matches the Rfam family "Bacterial small subunit ribosomal RNA", at positions 801 to 1360 of the family's 1533-position model. The record is from RNAcentral. Lineage: Eukaryota; Metazoa; Chordata; Actinopteri; Carangiformes; Carangidae.
AAACAUUGAUUAUAUAUUACACCAAACAUCCGCCUGGGUAUUACGAACAUCAGUUUAAAACCCCAAGGACUUGGCGGUGCUUAACAUCCACCUAGAGGAGCCUGUCCUAGAACCGAUAAUCCCCGUUCAACCUCACCCUCCCUUGUUCCUUCCCGCCUGUAUACCUCCGUCGUCAGCUUACCCUGUGAAGGCUUAAUAGUAAGCAAGAUUGGCACAUCCCCUAAUACGUCAGGUCAAGGUGCAGCGCAUGAGAGGGGAAGAAAUGGGCUACAUUCGCUAAGAUAGCGAACACGAAUGUUGCAUUGAAACAUACAACUGAAGGAGGAUUUAGCAGUAAGAAGGAAGUAGAGUGUCCU